AAUUGACGGGGGCCCGCACAAGCGGUGGAGCAUGUGGUUCAAUUCGACGCAACGCGAAGAACCUUACCCAGGCUUGAACUGCAGGUGACAUCCUACGAAAGUAGGCUUCCGCAAGGACACCUGUAGAGGUGCUGCAUGGCUGUCGUCAGCUCGUGUCGUGAGAUGUUGGGUUAAGUCCCGCAACGAGCGCAACCCUUGUCUUCUGUUGCCAUCGGGUUAUGCCGGGCACUCUGAAGAGACUGCCGGUGACAAACCGGAGGAAGGUGGGGAUGACGUCAAGUCAGCAUGGCCUUUAUGUCUGGGGCCACACACGUGCUACAAUGGCCGGUACAAACCGUCGCGAUCUCGCGAGAGGGAGCUAAUCGGAGAAAGCCGGUCUCAGUUCGGAUUGUAGGCUGCAAAAGGGCCUGCAUGAAGUUGGAAUCGCUAGUAAUCGCGGAUCAGCACGCCGCGGUGAAUACGUUCCCGGGC
RNAcentral lists this ribosomal RNA (471 nucleotides) under uncultured Acidobacteriota bacterium. Its description in RNAcentral is "bacterial SSU rRNA". It matches the Rfam family "Bacterial small subunit ribosomal RNA", at positions 908 to 1379 of the family's 1533-position model. The record is from RNAcentral. Lineage: Bacteria; Pseudomonadati; Acidobacteriota.